AUGAGGACUUCACCAAUCCUAUUCAUCUCCAUUGCCCUCAUGCUGAUGAUGUCUUCAGAUAGUGAUGGCCCACAACAGCAAAUGUGUUCCCAAAGGAUGCCAGUGCGAAGCAUGCUGGGCAAGACCGUCGAGCUCGUCAUCAAACUCACCACUGAGUUAGGCCACAUGGACAUAAAACUUUAUUUCAUGGUUUAUGUUUGUGGAAUGAAAUUCGAUUUUGUGGUUGGUCGAGUAAUAGUAGUGAUGACAAGCCUCAAGUAA
Molecule: ribosomal RNA, 261 nt
Filed under: Triticum aestivum (bread wheat)
Lineage: Eukaryota; Viridiplantae; Streptophyta; Magnoliopsida; Poales; Poaceae
Description: partial small subunit ribosomal RNA
Source: RNAcentral